Molecule: ribosomal RNA, 524 nt
Filed under: Leucauge magnifica
Lineage: Eukaryota; Metazoa; Arthropoda; Arachnida; Araneae; Tetragnathidae
Description: SSU rRNA
Rfam family: Eukaryotic small subunit ribosomal RNA
Source: RNAcentral
ACGAGUACCCAUUGGAGGACAAGUCUGGUGCCAGCACCCGCGGUAACUCCAGCUCCAAUAGCGUAUAUUAAAGUUGUUGCGGUUAAAAAGCUCGUAGUUGGAUCUCAGUGCGAGACGGACGGUCCACCUACCGGUGGUCACUGUCCGGUCUCCACACCAGCCGGUUUCCCUGGAUGAUCUUCACCGGUUGUCUUGGGUGACCGGCAAGUUUACUUUGAAAAAAUUAGAGUGCUCAAAGCAGGCGCGACGCCUGGAUAAUGGUGCAUGGAAUAAUGGAAUAGGACCUCGGUUCUAUUUUGUUGGUUUUAGGAACACGAGGUAAUGAUUAAGAGGGACAGACGGGGGCAUUCGUAUUGCGACGCUAGAGGUGAAAUUCUUGGACCGCCGCACGACGAACUACUGCGAAAGCAUUUGCCAAGAAUGUUUCCAUUAAUCAAGAACGAAAGUUAGAGGUCCGAAGGCGAUCAGAUACCGCCCUAGUUCUAACCAUAAACGAUGCCAGCCAGCGAUCCGGCUGUGUUCCU